AACCUAUUUUGUCCUUUGGAUUUCACCUACUGCCCUCUUUAUUCUCAUGGCCUCCUGAUCUCGGGAAACAACAAUAGAAAUAAGCACAGUUGGAUAAGCUUAUUUUGAUAUUAGUUUUUAUAUCCUUGACCUUGUGAUGCUGCAAUUUAUGGGGACAGAUAUAGAUAGCAUUAUUGGACAUCUUAGGUUUAUGAAGUUUGCACACCCAGAAGAGGGGAUUAUGUUUUUAUCUUUGUUGCCUUAAGAGCCGUUGGAUAGAGAUGCAAAUUAAUUACCAGAUAACUUGCUAACUUAUACGGAUGCUACGUCGUAGAAAGAGCGGUUUGUGUAAACUUAAAGGCCAGAUGGUUAGUGCAAUGAAACCUGGUUUUACAAUUUUUUUCUCCUUAGCUCUGUAUCAACUUAUAUCAUUUGGUUCGAGAUUUUCAUGAUUUUCUUGCAUUUUGGGGAAAUAAUUACUCGAAAGUACAAAUUGUUAGUGUGAUCGGGAGUGGUUGACUGGUUCAAGCUCUGAUUUCACCAAUUACGUUGUAAUGACAGAGGUAAUUUGCUGCUAUUAUUUUAUUUUUAAAUUAACUGUUGCAUGUGUUCGAUUGAUGGCCCUUCCAAGCUUCCGGUAACUUGCAUUUUCACUUAAGAUUAUGCUUAACUACUACUAAUAUAGUUCAUUAUUUUAACUCUUAAACGACCAGGUAAAAUAUUUUAAAUUAAUGGCUGAUAUUUUGAAUGUCUUCGAUUUCAUCUUCAGCCUAUACAUUUCCCUUUUGAAAGGCUAGUGACUGGACACUAAUUGAAGUUAUUGUAUGUAAUUUUUAACGCUUUUAAAAUGAGUUUGAUCCAUGUGACCUAUAUAUUAAGCUUUCUGUCUUGGAAAAUUUGUAUCAUGCAUCUAGAUGAUAGCGUUAACUUUUUGCAUUCAGUUUAAAUUAUCUAAGCAUUACGAAAUACUAUUGCCUUGUGUGGGAUUCUAACAUCUACGUACAUUCCCAACAUGUACAUGCAUUUUCUCCUUUUCCAUUUAGAAGAAAACUGUAUCAGCCAUCCAAGAACCAUGU
Nicotiana tabacum (common tobacco) is the source of this 1055-nucleotide non-coding RNA. The record is from RefSeq and is a predicted model, not a curated record. Lineage: Eukaryota; Viridiplantae; Streptophyta; Magnoliopsida; Solanales; Solanaceae.